AGGAAUCUACCUAGUAGUACGGAAUAAUUGUUGGAAACGACAACUAAUACCGUAUACGCCCUACGGGGGAAAAAUUUAUUGCUAUUAGAUGAGCCUAUAUUAGAUUAGCUAGUUGGUGGAGUAAUAGCCUACCAAGGCAAUGAUCUAUAGCUGAUCUGAGAGGAUGAUCAGCCACACUGGAACUGAGAUACGGUCCAGACUCCUACGGGAGGCAGCAGUGGGGAAUAUUGGACAAUGGGCGAAAGCCUGAUCCAGCCAUGCCGCAUGAGUGAAGAAGGCCUUUGGGUUGUAAAGCUCUUUUAGUGAGGAAGAUAAUGACGGUACUCACAGAAGAAGUCCUGGCUAACUCCGUGCCAGCAGCCGCGGUAAUACGGAGAGGGCUAGCGUUAUUCGGAAUUAUUGGGCGUAAAGGGCGCGUAGGCUGGUUAAUAAGUUAAAAGUGAAAUCCCGAGGCUUAACCUUGGAAUUGCUUUUAAAACUAUUAAUCUAGAGAUUGAAAGAGGAUAGAGGAAUUCCUGAUGUAGAGGUAAAAUUCGUAAAUAUUAGGAGGAACACCAGUGGCGAAGGCGUCUAUCUGGUUCAAAUCUGACGCUGAAGCGCGAAGGCGUGGGGAGCAAACAGGAUUAGAUACCCUGGUAGUCCACGCUGUAAACGAUGAAUGUUAAAUAUGGGAAGUUUACUUUCUGUAUUACAGCUAACGCGUUAAACAUUCCGCCUGGGGACUACGGUCGCAAGAUUAAAACUCAAAGGAAUUGACG
Molecule: ribosomal RNA, 758 nt
Filed under: Wolbachia pipientis
Lineage: Bacteria; Pseudomonadati; Pseudomonadota; Alphaproteobacteria; Rickettsiales; Anaplasmataceae
Description: bacterial SSU rRNA
Rfam family: Bacterial small subunit ribosomal RNA
Source: RNAcentral